CUGUACUUCCGGUAAGUCGUAGUCGAGCCUCUGCCGCCUGCCCUGCGAAAGCGAGGCCGCGCGGCGGGGGUGGGAUUUCGUCUACCGCCUCUUCAACUCGCCGCAGAGGACACCACACCCGUGGUGGCCAACACGGUCGAGGCGAAGUAACCCUUGCCUAUGAGUACCUUUUCGUUCCCUCGGCGGGCUCGCGCUCGCCGCUGGGCCCAUCCAUACCCCUUUGCAGUAGUCGUAUACCUCUGAUCGUGGGCACUUGAAUCUUUA
This 264-nucleotide unclassified non-coding RNA is filed under the name soil metagenome. Its description in RNAcentral is "partial internal transcribed spacer 1". The record is from RNAcentral.